AUGAAGAAGGCAGACAAGUUCGAGUGGACUCCAGAAGCUGAUGCAGCGUUUGCCGAGCUAAAAGCUCUGCUCUCCACCCAGCCGGUGCUUGCUGCUCCAAUCAGCAAAGAGCCUCUGUUGCUCUAUGUCGCAGCCACAGGACAAGUCGUCAGUACUGUGCUUACGGUCGAGCGGGAAGAAGAAGGAAAAGCUCUCAAAGUUCAGCGCCCAGUGUAUUAUUUGUCUGAAGUCUUGACUCCAUCCAAGCAGAGAUAUCCUCAUUAUCAGAAGCUUGUGUAUGAAAUAUACAUGACCACAAAGAAGGUUGCUCAUUAUUUCUCUGAUCAUUCCAUCACAGUCGUCAGCGACGCUCCACUAUCAGAGAUUUUGCACAACAGAGAUGCAACCGGUCGAGUGGCUAAAUGGGCGAUUGAACUUCUUCCCCUUGAUAUCAAGUUUGAGGCAAAGAAAGCCAUUAAGUCCCAGGCAAUAGCAGAUUUCCUCGCCGAGUGGAUUGAACAGCAGCAGCCGACUGAAGUUCACUCGGAGCAUUGGACCAUGUUCUUUGACGGCUCUAAGAUGUUGAAUGGUUCUGGUGCUGGGGUUGUCCUGGUUUCCCCCAGAGGAGAUAGGCUCAGAUAUGUGCUCCAGAUUCACUUUGAUUCCUCCAACAAUGAGGCAGAGUACGAGGCCCUCUUAUACGGAUUGCGCAUGGCCAUUUCACUCGGCGUCCGUCGCCUGAUGGUCUAUGGCGACUCGGAUUUAGUGGUCAACCAAGUGAUGAAGGAGUGGGAUGUGAGAAGCCCAGCCAUGACUGGAUACUGCAGUGCAGUGAGGAAGCUGGAAAAGAAGUUCGAGGGGUUGGAGCUCCAUCAUAUACCCCGACUGAAAAAUCAAGCGGCUGAUGAUCUAGCAAAGAUAGGUUCCAGGAGAGAAGCCAUUCCGAGUGGUGUGUUCUUGGAGCAUAUACACACUUCGUCAGUAAAAGAAGAUCCUUUCACCGAAGAAGCUCCACAGCCCAAGAGUGCCACAGAUCCGACUGAGGUUGAAGUCCCAGCAGUGGUCGACUUGGUCACGGAGAUCUUGGUGGUCAUUCCCGAUUGGACAGUUCCAUAUAUCGCAUAUAUCCUGAAAAAAGAGCUCCCGGAGGAUGAGGAAGAGGCUCGACAGAUCGUCCGUCGAUCUAAGGCCUUUACCGUAAUCAAAGGACAGUUAUACAGAGAAAGCGCGACUGGAGUUGGUCAGAAGUGCAUAACGCCAGAA
This 1242-nucleotide ribosomal RNA is filed under the name Triticum aestivum (bread wheat). RNAcentral describes it as "partial small subunit ribosomal RNA". The record is from RNAcentral. Lineage: Eukaryota; Viridiplantae; Streptophyta; Magnoliopsida; Poales; Poaceae.